This 2401-nucleotide long non-coding RNA is filed under the name Homo sapiens (human). Its description in RNAcentral is "JUN divergent transcript". Lineage: Eukaryota; Metazoa; Chordata; Mammalia; Primates; Hominidae. The record is from RNAcentral.
CCAUCCGCGCCGAGUUGCUUCCGGGAAAACAAGCCCAGAAGGCGGCGGACACUCGCAUAAAGUCACGCAGUAGUACUCGGAGCCCGGGGUAGAACCUGGACUUCAAAUCUCUGCACUCCCGGCCGGGUGGUGGGCGCAUAUCCUGGGUAGCCUCUAGGAAGCGCUAGACACAUGGAACCAAGGCAGAUUCAGCCUGGCAGCUGGCAAGUCAUGGAGCACUGCCUGUCCAUCUGCGAGCUAACAACAGUCGCGCUGGAAGUCAACAAGGGAAAUGGAAAGGGAGAGACCCAGCCUCCACAGGGGCUCACGCCCUGGGACCUGUGCCAGUGUGAACAAGGUUUUCCGGUUCUAGCCAGAGGAAGCUGCAGCCAGGCCUGGCAGUCUCCCCUGCUCCCUUCCACCAGCUUGGUUCCUGUUUCUGCUGGUCCUGGGAGCCCCCAGCAGAUGGACUGCCCUUAUCAGCCGGCUCCAGGCCAGAGGAGGAAUCCUCCGGUCACGUGUGGCUCUCUGGAGGGAGAGAGACCUCAUAAAUACAUACAGCCCACGCAGAGGAAGGGGGGAGGGUCAAGGGGAAAGAAACCUUGACAUUCUGGCGACUGGGCCAGGAUUAAAGUCCACCAGGCAUAGUCCUUAUUGGCUAUUUCUAUGAGGAAUCUCAAAUCCACAUGGCUUCCCUGGAUGACAACGCUGACUUUGACUAGCCCUGGGAUCUGGGGCAUUCCCAGUGUGCUGCUGGCUUGAUCCAGGCCUAAUCCUUUGCCCAGGACUGACCUUUCACAGUUUACAGAGCACUUUAUCUCCUGGCUCAGUGAAGUCUCACAGAACCCUCCAGAGAGAAGGGAGUUUAUCAUCACCCUCAAUUUACAGAUGAGGAAGCUGAGGCUGCGAUUGUAACUGACUGACUGCUGGCUACGCAGCUACAAGUGACCGAGUCCAGCCUGAAAGCCACAUAUAUUCUCCCACAAAAUCCAGAGCUGCCAAACACAUCCUCCUCCAUGAGUCUUGCUUUGUGCCCAUCACUGAGCUCCAUGCCCCGGGCGAGCCAUCGUUCCUGCCUGGCGAAGUCCACAAUCCAAUAAGGAGGGAAGGUUGAAGGGAUGAAUCUCAACAGAAUUGUGCACAGUGAAAGAAGCCAAUGAAAGAAGAGUACAUAUUGUAUAAUUCCAUUUAUAGAAAACUCUAGAAAAUGCAAGCUGAUCUACAGUGACAGAAAGCAGAUCCAUGGUUGUUUGGGGAAGUGAGGCAGAAGGAAAGGAUUCAGAGAAGCACAAGGAACCUUUUAGGGUGGUAGACAUGCUUACUAUCUGGUACUGAGAGUUUCUCAUGUCUGCACGUAUCUAAUUGUACACUUUAAAUACACACAGUUUAUUGUAUGUCAAUUAUAUCUCCAUAAAGCUAUUUAAAAAGAGGAACGUAAGUGGGGAAAAGAAUGAAGGAAGUUGGCUGGCGUAUAAUUAAGUAAGUCUGUGAGCAGUCUUAAAGUGGGGACACAAAGUACCAUGGGCACGUAAGAGAAGAAGGUAGAGAUUCAUUCCCAAACGGAAGAGAUCAGGAAGGAGUUCUUAGAACAGGGUUUCAACAAAGCUCAAGGUAUGGAUAAGUAAGGGUCAGGUUAAGAAAGAUUCAGAUGGAAGAUACAGAUAGAGUUUAUUUGGGAAAUAGAGAGUGGAGUAUUAUACACACGCACAAUUCGCCUUUUUACCCAAGUUUUGAAGGACUGAAGUUAAAACUAACAGCAACUAUCCUCUCUUUUCUUCAGAAAUUCAGACACAUGCCCUACUUGGCAGGCAGCUAGUUUUGCUAAUAAGAUUCCUGCCCUUCUCCCUCCCUCUCUGUGCAUCUCAUCCCUUCGGUCCCGCUGAGGCCCCUACCCUCUCGGAUUUCCUCUUUGAACUGAACUGCCAAAUACUUGCCAGCUUCCAGGGCCCUGAGUACCCACAUUUCAGCCUCUUCCAAACCCCAGAGUAAGAAGGAGAUUUGGGGAGUUCUGGGUGGGCAUGUGAUGGGAGACUAGGUCCAACAUAAAAAGAUAUUUCCCUUUUUCUUCCAUACUUUUUGGCUUAGUAAUUGACAUGUGACCAUUGGAGAAUUUUGAAUAGUUUAUUAGAAUACAUUGUGAUAGAGAAGAAGGAAAUUCAAGAAUUGUUACAAUGUUGUACACUGAUUAACUGGCUAAUUUGCUGCAAAACCAAUUCUGAUCACUGCUCUUAUGGUUUGUAAUACAUUAUUUUGGGUUUGGAUGAUCCUGUUAUUCAUAGCUUUACAUAAAGAAAUAUUCCAAUGACAUAUGAAACCCAUAUAUGAAAUUGUGGGUUAGCUCUUGCUUUCAAUUUUGUAUUAUGUUUGUUGAUUUUAAACUGUCUCCUUUCAAAAGUUUCCUUAUUAAUUAAAUAAACCACUC